GUGGGGAAUAUUGCACAAUGGGGGAAACCCUGAUGCAGCAACGCCGCGUGGAGGAUGACACAUUUCGGUGCGUAAACUCCUUUUAUAUAGGAAGAUAAUGACGGUACUAUAUGAAUAAGCACCGGCUAACUCCGUGCCAGCAGCCGCGGUAAUACGGAGGGUGCAAGCGUUACUCGGAAUCACUGGGCGUAAAGAGCGUGUAGGCGGAUAUAUAAGUCAGAAGUGAAAUCCAAUAGCUUAACUAUUGAACUGCUUUUGAAACUGUAUAUCUAGAAUGUGGGAGAGGUAGAUGGAAUUUCUGGUGUAGGGGUAAAAUCCGUAGAGAUCAGAAGGAAUACCGAUUGCGAAGGCGAUCUACUGGAACAUUAUUGACGCUGAGACGCGAAAGCGUGGGGAGCAAACAGGAUUAGAAACCCGAGUAGUCC
RNAcentral lists this ribosomal RNA (425 nucleotides) under uncultured bacterium. RNAcentral describes it as "partial 16S ribosomal RNA". It matches the Rfam family "Bacterial small subunit ribosomal RNA", at positions 354 to 796 of the family's 1533-position model. The record is from RNAcentral.